AACGAACGCUGGCGGCGUGGAUAAGACAUGCAAGUCGAACGAGAUUUUCUUUGGUAGCAAUACCGAAGAAAGUCUAGUGGCGAACGGGUGCGUAACACGUGGGCAAUCUGCCUUAAAGUGGGGGAUAGCUCGGCGAAAGCCGGAUUAAUACCGCAUGUGAUGAGGGGAGACAUUUUCCCAAAAUCAAAGUCGGGGCAACCUGACGCUUUUUGAGGAGCCCGCGGCCUAUCAGCUAGUUGGUGAGGUAACGGCUCACCAAGGCUUUGACGGGUAGCUGGUCUGAGAGGACGACCAGUCACACUGGAACUGAGACACGGUCCAGACACCUACGGGUGGCAGCAGUCGAGAAUUUUUCUCAAUGGGGGAAACCCUGAAGGAGCGACGCCGCGUGGAGGAUGAAGGUCUUCGGGUUGUAAACUCCUGUCAUUUGGGAACAAGUUGGACGCCGUAACUGCGCGUCCAUUGAUAGUACCAGAAGAGGAAGAGACGGCUAACUCUGUGCCAGCAGCCGCCGUAAAAC
Molecule: ribosomal RNA, 520 nt
Filed under: uncultured bacterium
Lineage: Bacteria
Description: bacterial SSU rRNA
Rfam family: Bacterial small subunit ribosomal RNA
Source: RNAcentral